Molecule: transfer RNA, 69 nt
Filed under: Ovis aries (sheep)
Lineage: Eukaryota; Metazoa; Chordata; Mammalia; Artiodactyla; Bovidae
Rfam family: tRNA
About the family: Transfer RNA (tRNA) molecules are approximately 80 nucleotides in length. Their secondary structure includes four short double-helical elements and three loops (D, anti-codon, and T loops).
Source: Rfam by way of RNAcentral
CCUGGUGGCUCAGAUGGUAAAGAGUCUGCCUGCAAUGCAGAAGACCAGGGUUCAAUCCCUGGGUCAGGA